AGCAGCGUGGCUCAGUGGAAAGAGCACGGGCUUGGGAGUCAGAGGUCAUGGGUUCUAAUCCCGGCUCUGCCA
Molecule: transfer RNA, 72 nt
Filed under: Ornithorhynchus anatinus (platypus)
Lineage: Eukaryota; Metazoa; Chordata; Mammalia; Monotremata; Ornithorhynchidae
Rfam family: tRNA
About the family: Transfer RNA (tRNA) molecules are approximately 80 nucleotides in length.
Source: Rfam by way of RNAcentral